This 469-nucleotide ribosomal RNA is filed under the name uncultured bacterium. RNAcentral describes it as "bacterial SSU rRNA". It matches the Rfam family "Bacterial small subunit ribosomal RNA", at positions 335 to 795 of the family's 1533-position model. The record is from RNAcentral.
ACUCCUACGGGAGGCAGCAGUGAGGAAUAUUGCGCAAUGGGGGAAACCCUGACGCAGCGACGCCGCGUGGAUGAUGAAGGCCCUUGGGUCGUAAAAUCCUGUCAGUUGGGAAGAAAUGCAUAUUGGCUAAUACCCAUUAUGUUUGACGGUACCAGCAAAGGAAGCACCGGCUAACUCCGUGCCAGCAGCCGCGGUAAUACGGAGGGUGCAAGCGUUGUUCGGAAUUACUGGGCGUAAAGCGCGCGUAGGUGGUCUAUUAAGUCAGAUGUGAAAGUCCCUGGCUCAACUGGGGAAGUGCAUAUGAAACUGGUAGACUUGAGUACUGGAGGGGGAAGUGGAAUUCCCGGUGUAGAGGUGAAAUUCGUAGAUAUCGGGAGGAAUACCGGUGGCGAAGGCGACUUCCUGGCCAGAUACUGACACUGAGGUGCGAAAGCGUGGGUAGCAAACAGGAUUAGAUACCCUGGUAGUC